Molecule: ribosomal RNA, 582 nt
Filed under: Cuscuta capitata
Lineage: Eukaryota; Viridiplantae; Streptophyta; Magnoliopsida; Solanales; Convolvulaceae
Description: eukaryotic LSU rRNA
Rfam family: Eukaryotic large subunit ribosomal RNA
Source: RNAcentral
CUUACAAGGAUUCCCUUAGUAACGGCGAGCGAACUGGGAAAAGCCCAGCCUUAGAAUCGGAUGGUUGUGCCGUUCGAAUUGUAGUCUGGAGAAAUGUCCUCAGCGGCGGACCGGGCCCAAGUCCCAUGGAAAUGGGCGCCAGAGAGGGUGAGAGCCCCGUUGUGUCUGGACCCUGCCGCACCACGAGGUGUUGUCUAAGAGUCGGGUUGUUUGGGAAUGCAGCCCAAAUUGGGUGGUGAAUUCCGUCCAAGGCUAAAUACAGGCGAGAGUCCGAUAGUGAACAAGUACCGCGAGGGAAAGAUGAAAAGGACUUUGAAAAGAGAGUCAAAGAGUGCUUGAAAUUGUCGGGAGGGAAGCAGAUGGAGACCGGCGAUGUGCCCUGGUUGGAUGUGGAACGGUGUGAGCCGGUCUGCCGAUCAACUCAGGGUGUGGAUCAGUGAGGAUUUAGGUGGCGGUCGAAGCCCUGGCAUUUGUUUUGCCUGAGGAAUGCCGUCCCCUGGAUUGAGGGAAGUAGCGUGCGCCUUUGGCGUGCUUCGGCACCUGUGCGCUCUGGUUGCUGACCUGCGGGCUCUCCAUUUGACC